Molecule: ribosomal RNA, 465 nt
Filed under: Vreelandella stevensii
Lineage: Bacteria; Pseudomonadati; Pseudomonadota; Gammaproteobacteria; Oceanospirillales; Halomonadaceae
Description: partial 16S ribosomal RNA
Rfam family: Bacterial small subunit ribosomal RNA
Source: RNAcentral
CCUACGGGGGGCAGCAGUGGGGAAUAUUGGACAAUGGGGGGAACCCUGAUCCAGCCAUGCCGCGUGUGUGAAGAAGGCCCUCGGGUUGUAAAGCACUUUCAGUGAGGAAGAACGCCUGGUGGUUAAUACCCAUCAGGAAAGACAUCACUCACAGAAGAAGCACCGGCUAACUCCGUGCCAGCAGCCGCGGUAAUACGGAGGGUGCGAGCGUUAAUCGGAAUUACUGGGCGUAAAGCGCGCGUAGGUGGCUUGAUAAGCCGGUUGUGAAAGCCCCGGGCUCAACCUGGGAACGGCAUCCGGAACUGUCAAGCUAGAGUGCAGGAGAGGAAGGUAGAAUUCCCGGUGUAGCGGUGAAAUGCGUAGAGAUCGGGAGGAAUACCAGUGGCGAAGGCGGCCUUCUGGACUGACACUGACACUGAGGUGCAAAAGCGUGGGUAGCAAACAGGCUUAGCUACCCCAGUAGUC